GGGCGUGUAGCUCAGUGGGAGAGCGCUACGUUGACAUCGUAGAGGUCGCUGGUUCAAUCCCAGCCACGCCCACCA
RNAcentral lists this transfer RNA (75 nucleotides) under Fidelibacterota bacterium. Its description in RNAcentral is "tRNA-Val". It matches the Rfam family "tRNA". From Rfam's summary of the family: Transfer RNA (tRNA) molecules are approximately 80 nucleotides in length. Their secondary structure includes four short double-helical elements and three loops (D, anti-codon, and T loops). Further hydrogen bonds mediate the characteristic L-shaped molecular structure. tRNAs have two regions of fundamental functional importance: the anti-codon, which is responsible for specific mRNA codon recognition, and the 3' end, to which the tRNAs corresponding amino acid is attached (by aminoacyl-tRNA synthetases). tRNAs cope with the degeneracy of the genetic code in two manners: having more than one tRNA (with a specific anti-codon) for a particular amino acid; and 'wobble' base-pairing, i.e. permitting non-standard base-pairing at the 3rd anti-codon position. The record is from RNAcentral. Lineage: Bacteria; Pseudomonadati; Fidelibacterota.